This 849-nucleotide ribosomal RNA is filed under the name Lentinus flexipes. RNAcentral's name for it is "partial large subunit ribosomal RNA". It matches the Rfam family "Eukaryotic large subunit ribosomal RNA", at positions 76 to 912 of the family's 3401-position model. The record is from RNAcentral. Lineage: Eukaryota; Fungi; Basidiomycota; Agaricomycetes; Polyporales; Polyporaceae.
UCCCCUAGUAACUGCGAGUGAAGCGGGAAAAGCUCAAAUUUAAAAUCUGGCGGUCUUUGGCCGUCCGAGUUGUAGUCUGGAGAAGUGCUUUCCGCGCUGGACCGUGUAUAAGUCUCUUGGAACAGAGCGUCGUAGAGGGUGAGAAUCCCGUCUUUGACACGGACUACCAGUGCUUUGUGAUGCGCUCUCAAAGAGUCGAGUUGUUUGGGAAUGCAGCUCAAAAUGGGUGGUGAAUUCCAUCUAAAGCUAAAUAUUGGCGAGAGACCGAUAGCGAACAAGUACCGUGAGGGAAAGAUGAAAAGCACUUUGGAAAGAGAGUUAAACAGUACGUGAAAUUGCUGAAAGGGAAACGCUUGAAGUCAGUCGCGUCGUUCGGAACUCAGCCUUGCUUUUGCUUGGUGCACUUUCCGGAUGACGGGUCAGCAUCGAUUUUGACCGUCGGAUAAGGGCUGGAGUAAUGUGGCACCUGCGGGUGUGUUAUAGACUCUGGUCGCAUACGGCGGUUGGGAUCGAGGAACGCAGCGCGCCGCAAGGCAGGGGUUCGCCCACUUUCGCGCUUAGGAUGCUGGCAUAAUGGCUUUAAGCGACCCGUCUUGAAACACGGACCAAGGAGUCUAACAUACCUGCGAGUGUUUGGGUGGAAAACCCGAGCGCGUAAUGAAAGUGAAAGUUGAGACCCCUGUCGUGGGGGGCAUCGACGCCCGGACCUGACGUUCUCUGACGGAUCCGCGGUAGAGCAUGUGUGUUGGGACCCGAAAGAUGGUGAACUAUGCCUGAAUAGGGUGAAGCCAGAGGAAACUCUGGUGGAGGCUCGUAGCGAUUCUGACGUGCAAAUCGAUCGUCAAAUUU